UACGUAGGGUGCAAGCGUUGUCCGGAAUUAUUGGGCGUAAAGAGCUCGUAGGCGGUUUGUCGCGUCUGCUGUGAAAACUCGGGGCUUAACCCCGGGCCUGCAGUGGGUACGGGCAGACUAGAGUGCGGUAGGGGAGACUGGAAUUCCUGGUGUAGCGGUGAAAUGCGCAGAUAUCAGGAGGAACACCGGUGGCGAAGGCGCACACCUGGCCCGAUACUGACGCUGAGGCGCGAAAGCUAGGGGAGCAAACGGG
Molecule: ribosomal RNA, 253 nt
Filed under: uncultured bacterium
Lineage: Bacteria
Description: partial 16S ribosomal RNA
Rfam family: Bacterial small subunit ribosomal RNA
Source: RNAcentral